AAGUCGUAACAAGGUUUCCGUAGGUGAACCUGCGGAAGGAUCAUUAUUGAAUUUAGAGACUGAAAGGUUUCGAAUUCCACACUGUGUUUUAAGCGUCUGACCGUUUAAUUACGAGAUGAUGUGCAAACCUGUUCAUACCACGUAUGAAAUUAAACAAACAAAAACUAAAACUUUCAACAACGGAUCUCUUGGCUCUC
Molecule: unclassified non-coding RNA, 197 nt
Filed under: fungal sp.
Lineage: Eukaryota; Fungi
Description: partial internal transcribed spacer region
Rfam family: Eukaryotic small subunit ribosomal RNA (bases 1-46)
Source: RNAcentral